UACGAGGGGAGCUAGCGUUGUUCGGAAUUACUGGGCGUAAAGGGCGUGUAGGCGGUAUCAUAAGUCAGAUGUGAAAGCCCUAGGCUUAACCUAGGAGGUGCAUUUGAUACUGUGGAACUAGAGAUCGAGAGAGGUAAGUGGAAUUACGAGUGUAGAGGUGAAAUUCGUAGAUAUUCGUAAGAACACCAGUGGCGAAGGCGACUUACUGGCUCGAUACUGACGCUAAGGCGCGAAAGCGUGGGGAGCAAACAGG
RNAcentral lists this ribosomal RNA (253 nucleotides) under uncultured bacterium. RNAcentral's name for it is "partial 16S ribosomal RNA". It matches the Rfam family "Bacterial small subunit ribosomal RNA", at positions 524 to 776 of the family's 1533-position model. The record is from RNAcentral.